CCUACGGGCGGCAGCAGUGGGGAAUAUUGCACAAUGGGGGAAACCCUGAUGCAGCGACGCCGCGUGAGUGAAGAAGUAUUUCGGUAUGUAAAGCUCUAUCAGCAGGGAAGAAAAUGACGGUACCUGAUUAAGAAGCCCCGGCUACCUACGUGCCAGCAGCCGCGGUAAUACGUAGGGGGCAAGCGUUAUCCGGAUUUACUGGGUGGAAAGGGAGCGUAGACGGCAGCACAAGUCUGGAGUGAAAUGCCGGGGCUUAACCCCGGAACUGCUUUGGAAACUGUGCAGCUAGAGUGCAGGAGAGGUAAGUGGCCUUCCUAGUGUAGCGGUGAAAUGCGUAGAUAUUAGGAGGAACACCAGUGGCGCAGGCGGCUUACUGGACUGUAACUGACGUUGAGGCUCGAACGCGUGGGGAGCAAACAGGAUUAGAUACCCUUGUAGUC
This 440-nucleotide ribosomal RNA is filed under the name uncultured bacterium. RNAcentral describes it as "partial 16S ribosomal RNA". It matches the Rfam family "Bacterial small subunit ribosomal RNA", at positions 338 to 795 of the family's 1533-position model. The record is from RNAcentral.